Molecule: long non-coding RNA, 481 nt
Organism: Vitis riparia (riverbank grape)
Lineage: Eukaryota; Viridiplantae; Streptophyta; Magnoliopsida; Vitales; Vitaceae
Exons: 2
Source: RefSeq, a predicted model, not a curated record
UUCACUCUCCUUCUUUUCAGAUUGCUUCUGAUUCUCAAGACUCCUAUCUACUCCACUGAUCACAGCGGCCACUCUCGGCUUUGGGGAAGUUUGGGAUUAUUUGCAUGGAAGAUCUUAUUCAUGAGAUCAUGACUGUUGGACCUCAUUUUAGGGAGGUCAACGACUUCCUAUGGCCAUUUAAGCUGAAGGCACCAUUGGGUGGUUUGAAGAAGAAGAGGAAUCACUAUGUUGAAGGAGGAGAUGCUGGAAACCGUGAAAAUUACACCAAUGAGCUCAUAAGAAGAAUGAACUAGAAACUUGUGGUACUUUUGGCCUUUUCUUAUUGGAAGUUUGAUAUCUUUUGCUUCUUCUUAGCAAUGAUAAAGUUGGAGAAUUCUUUUUAGGGUCAUAAAUAUGAACAAGGUGUUGAGAAAUUGAAUUUGAUAUUUGUUUUUAGACUUUGAUAGUAGAUAUCUUUAUUACCUAGAAUUUUAUUAGCAUC